AUACGUAGGUGGCAAGCGUUGUCCGGAAUUAUUGGGCGUAAAGCACGCGCAGGUGGUUCCUUAAGUCUGAUGUGAAAGCCCCCGGCUCAACCGGGGAGGGUCAUUGGAAACUGGGGAACUUGAGUGCAGAAGAGGAUAGUGGAAUUCCAAGUGUAGCGGUGAAAUGCGUAGAGAUUUGGAGGAACACCAGUGGCGAAGGCGACUGUCUGGUCUGUAACUGACACUGAGGCGCGAAAGCGUGGGGAGCAAACAGGAUUAGAUACCCUGGUAGUCCACGCCGUAAACGAUGAGUGCUAAGUGUUGGGGGGUUUCCGCCCCUCAGUGCUGCAGCUAACGCAUUAAGCACUCCGCCUGGGGAGUACGGUCGCAAGACUGAAACUCAAAGGAAUUGACGGGG
Molecule: ribosomal RNA, 397 nt
Filed under: uncultured bacterium
Lineage: Bacteria
Description: partial 16S ribosomal RNA
Rfam family: Bacterial small subunit ribosomal RNA
Source: RNAcentral